Molecule: long non-coding RNA, 1099 nt
Organism: Gordionus sp. m RMFG-2023
Lineage: Eukaryota; Metazoa; Nematomorpha; Gordioida; Chordodea; Parachordodidae
Exons: 3
Source: RefSeq, a predicted model, not a curated record
UUAAUAAUUUUAUCCGAUUGUGCCUAGUUAUGAAAAUUAUUCGAAAACAUCAUGUGACCUUUAUUUACAUCUGAUUGAAAAUAUCAUCGAUUAAAGAUAUGAAAUUUUUCAUAAUAUUAAUUACCUUUAUUUUUGCCAAACCUACUAACUCAAUAAAAUGUUAUGAAUGUAAAAGUCCAAAAAACGAGUCAUGUAUUACAGAUUACACUUCUUUUUUAGUUAAUUGUGAUGUAGAAGGUAGAUCAAUUAAUAAAACAGAUAGAAGAACUUGCAGAACUGUUACAACUAUUCUAAAAAAUAACAAACAAAAGUACAUUUAUAGGUAUUGCAACUGGAUGAUUGAUAGUUUUAAGCCUAUAGGCUGCUUCACAACAACCAGUGCUAGUGGGGAUGUAAAAGCUACCACCUGUACCUGCGAUACGGAUGCAUGCAACUCGGCACACUUCUACUUAAAUUCAUUUUCGCAAAACAAAAUAAAAUUUAUAUUGACCACUAUAUUCAUGCCUUUUUUAUUGCUAUAUUCUCUUUUAUAAUUAAAUUUCAUACGUAAUAUACUUUUUUUCAUUCCUACUCAAUGCAUAUGGUAUUAAAUUUGUAUUUGGAAAAUUUUAAAUAUAAAACACAGGUAUAUUUUCUUUAAAUCGAUUUAUUAAAAUCUACUAGAAAAAUGCAUUAAUAAAGAUUAGAAAUUAAUAGUUUAUGAAAUAUAUAAUCAUAUUUUACCAGGAGUGGAGGGGGAAGAAUGAUUUCUUAACAAAUAAUAAUUUUUAGAGAAAAUUAUUAAAGUUUUUCUCUAAAUAGUCCGAAAUCAUUUUUUUUAUUUGAAUGGAUUGCGAAACUAUAUUUCCAAUAUGUUUUAAUUAUUUUAUGAAUGUUUAGACUCUACUUUGGAUUGUCCUAAUCAUUUUUUUAAAAGAAUUAUUUUACUAGUCCGAUUAUUCAGAAUCGUUAAAUAUCUUUUUUACAAAAACAAAUUUGUAAUCUCAUAUACAUAUAAUAUGUUUAACUUGCAAAAUGGAUUAUAUUGGUCUUUUUCCUUCAUUAAAACCUUGCAAUUAUUUUGAAGAAAUUGUAUUUUUUUUAUUCACGCGACUUAUUG